CCGGUGCCGCUGCCCCAGAGCCAGCAGGUGCCGCCUGGCCAGAGCUGCCAAGGCACAGGAGGAGGCCGUGGCAGCUUCUCCUGCCCUUGGCGAGUAGGUGGGAGCUGCAGGGCCAGGCAGCCAGGCAGCUGCCCCACACAGCCCCUGCAACCAGCCCAGCCCUUUGCCCAGCUGGCCUGAAGCCCGUGGCCUCCCCGGACAGCAGCUGGGGCACAACGGGGUCGCUGCUGCCGGUGCCAGAGACCGAGGAUGUGGCCUUGGCUAAGGAAGAGUGGAAAGAAUCUCUUGACCGAAAGCUGGCCCAAGGGCCAAGUGACAGAGCCCAGGUUCUGUCCCUGGGGCCAGGUGACAGUGAAGAACUGUCCCAAAGGGAAGACAAGAGACACCAAGACCGGUCCAGGUGAGAGGGGACAGAGGCCAAAGCCUGAGCGGUGCUGCAGGAGAGCCGGCACAGGCCUCGCUCAGGCACACACAGACCCUCGGCCUCCUGCUGGGAACAGCCCGGCGUGACAAGGGAAAUUGUGACUGGAGAAGGGGUCCAUACCGAGGGACAACAGCGCUGUUCGGGGACAAACAUCCUGCUUCUAGUCCCUGGAAAGAAGCACAACACAGGACAGAAAAAGGGCAGAAAAAAAGCCAGGAGGAGAGCAUGGACUGCAGGGCAGAAUCAAGCCCACUCAAGAGCCCCAACACCUCUGAGGCAUUUCCAGAAAGAUAACAGGUUACAUUUAGGGCUGAAUUAUUUCAGUCUCAUACAGCUAUUAAAUCAACCUGGGUUUGCAGCAGAAUAAGGCUGGAGCAGCAGAAAGUGAAUCACAUCCAUAAUUUGUACAGUUCCUUAGGACAUAAACAUCAGAAGGGAGAAUUUCUUUUAAAGAAGCAGAUGUCUGCACCAAACAAGAGAGCUGGUUUGGUCUGUAGGAGAGAAGGAGAAGGAGACUCUUCCCUGAAGAGGAAGGAAAAAAGGUAACAGAAAAAUGAAGCAAAUAAAUAAAUCCCAAAUUAAUUCAGAAGAUGUUGCAAGAAUUAUGUCUGAAGUAUAUGAAGCAUAUUACUUAUAAGUACUCCUUUCUAUUUCUUUCCUAUUUUAAUUUGACUGGAUAAAAACUGUUUCAAGACUGCUGAUAUUUCAGGAAUGCUAAAAUGUACUGGCCCUGAGAAACAGAAACCAGCUAAGUGUAAAACUCAGGGACUUCUGGUGCAUAACAGUUUUUUAAACAAAAUCAUAAAUAAAACAUAUAGAAUAGAUCAACCAGUAAAUUAGCACAGAGUGGGGCAGCUGGGUGCAGUGUAAACUCCAGCACCAAUAAAGCCAAUAACAAUUUUGACAAUGAUUUCACAGGGACCAAUAACUCAGCUUAGAGUACACAUAUUUCAGACAGUAAUUUUUGAGAAAAAUGGAUGAA
Long non-coding RNA from Cyanistes caeruleus (blue tit), 1406 nucleotides. RefSeq lists it as uncharacterized. NCBI's taxonomy places the organism in Eukaryota, Metazoa, Chordata, Aves, Passeriformes, Paridae. The record is from RefSeq and is a predicted model, not a curated record.